CAGGUUAUAACUUUAUAGAAAGUAUUUUUAUUUACACUAAAAAUUUAAUUGUGCAAAUCAAUUUAACUUGA
Molecule: transfer RNA, 71 nt
Filed under: Heterocerus fenestratus
Lineage: Eukaryota; Metazoa; Arthropoda; Insecta; Coleoptera; Heteroceridae
Description: tRNA-Val
Source: RNAcentral